AUGGAAAAAUCUCCAGCCGUUUCCACCCCCAACUCCCCAAGCGAGGCCGUGCUCGUCCUGCGCGCUGCGCUCCGCGACACGCUCGGCGAGGCCGUGAGCGCCGUUGGGGCCGUCGCCGGCCUGGCGUCCCUGUCCAACCACGCGCGCGAGGAGAUGGUUGUGCGCAACUGCAUAGAGCUGCUCGGGUACUCCGUCGACGAGCUCGGGUGGUCGCUCAACGCCAUGGCCGAGCCCCUCCACGGCGCGGAGCCGGAGAUGGAGACCGCUCACGGCGCUGCGCCAAGGAGCGUUCGCAGGGGACGCACGCGGAAGACGACCUGCAGGCUUCCACGGCACCGAUGGCCGCCUGCUGCGUCGCGUCGAGGCGUCCGUGGCGCAGCUAACGCAGCUGGUGAGCAACCUCCUCGCCAUGCACAAGCGUUGCUGCGUAGGAUCAUGCCGCUGCGCCAGCACGGCAACAACGAUACGGCGGCGUCCGGCGCCGGUUCGGAGCUGCCGACGUGGGUGAUGGACGUCGCCGGCGUCGUCGAAGAGGAGCUCAAGCGCGCCCAGAGCUGGCGCGACGGCUCGAGUCGCUCGCCGCGCGGGAGGUGGAGGUGGUGGCCGCGCUCUGCGAGGGGGCCGGGGCGCGCCGCUGGCCGAGUUGAGCUCGUCCAAGAUUGA
This 663-nucleotide ribosomal RNA is filed under the name Triticum aestivum (bread wheat). Its description in RNAcentral is "partial small subunit ribosomal RNA". The record is from RNAcentral. Lineage: Eukaryota; Viridiplantae; Streptophyta; Magnoliopsida; Poales; Poaceae.